This 484-nucleotide ribosomal RNA is filed under the name uncultured bacterium. RNAcentral's name for it is "partial 16S ribosomal RNA". It matches the Rfam family "Bacterial small subunit ribosomal RNA", at positions 30 to 507 of the family's 1533-position model. The record is from RNAcentral.
AUUGAACGCUGGCGGCAGGCCUAACACAUGCAAGUCGAGCGGAUGAAGGGUGCUUGCUCCUGGAUUCAGCGGCGGACGGGUGAGUAAUGCCUAGGAAUCUGCCUGGUAGUGGGGGAUAACGUCCGGAGACGGGCGCUAAUACCGCAUACGUCCUGAGGGAGAAAGUGGGGGAUCUUCGGACCUCUUGCUAUCAGAUGAGCCUAGGUCGGAGUAGAUAGAUGGUGGGGUAAAGGCCUACCAAGGCGACGAUUCGUAACUGGUCUGAGAGGAUGAUCAGUCACACGGGAACUGAGACGCGGUCAAGACUCCUACGGGAGGCAGCAGUGGGGAAUGUUAGACAAUGGGCGAAAACCUGGUCCAGCCGUGCCGCGUGUGUGAAGAAAAUCUUCGGAUUGUAAAGCACUUUAAGUUGGGAGGAAGGGCAGUAAGUUGAUACCUAGCUGUUUUGACGGUACCGGCAGAAUAAGCACCGGCUAACUACGUG